AUUUCUGUGUCCAAACUUUUGUGUCAGUUGAAUUCUAUUGUUCUAUUUACUAAAAUUCUCUUGAUUAGUACAGGCCCCUUCUCUGAAGAGGCCACUGGAGAUUGGUUAAUUGGAUGAUGGUCUCUACAGGCUUGUGCAAUCUUCUUCCCUUAAAACUCUUGAUCCUUGUAAUCAACAUGCUCCUUUACCUGUUAGUUCUGUUUCUUCUUCUCACUGUACGUACCAUUCCGAAUUGAAUAAAAUGGAGAUGUUAUGUCAUAAUAGACUAGGGCAUAUACCUUUUUUUAGAAUGAAAGACAUGCCUUCUAUAACAUGUAGUUUUUCCACAAAGCAACCUUUUCUCUGUACUAUAUGCCCUUUGGCCAGGCAAUCUAGACUACCCUUUCCUGACAGCUCCAUUAAAACAACUCAUGCUUUUCAACUGAUUCAUGUUGAUACAUGGGAUCCAAAGGAAUUGGAUGGAACCAGUGCAUGGUACCUUAACCUUAUAGCCAUUGGGUAAGGUAACUAGAUAUGGUAUUACUAAAGGCUUAAUGUCAAAGAGAAGUUCUUUAUUUGAUGUCAUGUGGUCAGUGGCACCAAAGUCUAUAAUCCAGAUGC
This 600-nucleotide long non-coding RNA is filed under the name Nicotiana benthamiana. Its description in RNAcentral is "long non-coding RNA (NBEN_LNC013842)". Lineage: Eukaryota; Viridiplantae; Streptophyta; Magnoliopsida; Solanales; Solanaceae. The record is from RNAcentral.